GGGUCUCAAGUUGCCUAGGUGUAAAUGUACAUUAUAUAUACUUGAUGUUACAUUCUGAAUGUUUUUUUAGAGAACAUUCUGAAUGUUUUACAGUUCGGUCUAUGUACUCUACAGUUCAUCAGCAUCAGCUACAUCAUCGUUUACAAAUGAAGAAUGAGAAGCUUGGCAAAAAGAAAAAAGGGAGCUACAUAAGAAAGUUCAAUCCAACAACCUGAACAUGUGCACUACAUCAUGAAAAUGUCAAUAAUACAUUCAGUAAAAUUAUUUUGAAUCCAAACAUCUUGCAAGAACUUGAAUAUAGUGGUGGGGAUAAUUGGCAGGCCACAAACUCCUAAUGAUAAAUAAAAUAUCAUGGUGGGCAUUGUAUUCUCACCAACUAUCAAUGGCAUCCUGAAUCAACUCCAUGCUACCCGUCUAGGAAUAGGCUCUUGCCCUCCCAAAGUGAUGCCCAAUUUGGAAGACACUGGGGCACACAUUGCCACAAACUUUGCAUCACACAUGCAAAAGAAAAAAAGUUGCAUCCUAAAACGGAGUGAAACGAAAAAAAAACAGCCAAUACAUGGGUCACUAGGAGAAAAACAACACCACAGUAAAUUUGGUGACGAACUGCACCGAACACGAUGUUUAACAACAGAAAAAAAAAGCAUUAACCAUGGACCUAGGGACUGAUUGGUUUGAUGCGAAAUAUGGGCUAGUGUUUCGUUGGUUACCAUGUUUAUUUGCCAACCUUAUAAGAAAUUGUCAAUUUUUGACAUUUGAUAUUGUCAAUUGUUGGCUUGCCAAGUAUUGCCAAUGCCAAAUGUGAGCAUCAAACCAAUUAUCCUCCUAAUUUCUUUGGUGACCAUUCUGAAUGGUGGGGCCCGCCCAUCAGGGCCAUGCGUGCAUGUUGACUUAGUCUUCUUAUUCCUCCUCUGCUCUGGCUGGGGUAUUACAUCAAGCACUCACGUGCAUCAGAGAUGGCAGCACCAGCCUUGCUCUCGUGCCGACCUGACUGCUCCGGCGAGUCCAGGACACCGCGUCCAUCCCUCUGCGUCAUGAACUCCAUGCACCCACCUCGGCAGGAAGAACGAGAGCCAAAUACUCUGAGGGUGUGCACAUCCAUACGUCCAUGGCUUGGGCUCCACGCACGGAUGCAUACGUGCAUGGCUUGGCCAUCCACUACGGACCCAGCGGCAUCGCCACAUGUAUCACCCAAACACUCCAACACCGGAGAUCGACUAGGAUGCAAUGAGAAGCAUUGGAAUCAUGCUCCAUCACAAGUCAAAGUGAUCAGUGCAUGCAUGCGUCAAAGAGUGAAAGCACAUCCUGGUCACAUGGGAUAGACUUGAGGCUAAAGAUGGGGCAUUCCUAGAGAUGUCAUGGAGGUGGAGUCAUUUUUCCCAAUGCCGCUCAUACAUAAGCAUGGUUGUGUCAAAAUAGCAAUUGCGACAGGGUUUUUCCUCACUUCCAAGACAUGAAGCUCGGGCAAACAGAUGGAGAGAUGGUCUGCAUAUUUUUUUUAUGUGGGUCAUGUCACCACUCACGGCUCUAGUAUAUAAACAAGACAAAGAUAUAUAUGAUGGUAGGACUAGUAGUAGUUGCAGAUUUGGGUCACCGGCUCUCUUCUCAUAACUGUUGUUGUUUACUUCGUUUUUUAUAGAAAUAGCGAGAGAAAGAAACAGCGUUCCAUUGAAAUUGUCCAAUAUGUGUAUUGCGUAUUUUUAGGGAUGAUACCGAAUUGGAUUCGGAUAGGUAAUCCUUUUACUGUAUCAUAUUCCAUAUUUAUUUUUGAAUUUGGAAGCUGAAUGAAUACGGAUUCCAAUACUGGAUUAUGUUGAUUCAGACGUGGUGCAGUAAAGGAACGAUGUCAGAUUGGAAAUGAUCAUUUACCAUAUUCAUAUACGAGGAAUAUAUAAAUGUUUUGAAGAGAAUUAUACAUAAACACUAGAUGGUAUUAAAAUAAGCCAAAUAAAUCAAUAACAAUCAUAUGUCUUGUAUCAUAAGCAAAGAUAGCAUUCAUGUAUUGCUAGCUAAUACUAAAAACUUCACCCAUAAAUUGGCUUAGGAAUUAAAAAGAUUGAUUACCCGGCUAGAAAAAAAGGAUUAUCCUACUGCAUCGUAUAUUAGCAAUACCAUAUCCUAUCAAUUGGUCUCGUAUUCAGAUCAGAUUGUUGUCGGAUAUCAAAAUCUCUUAUCGUAUCCUAUAAAAACAGAUUCGGGAACAGUUUCGGACGAAAAUUAUCCUAAUCAUUUUGGAGUUGGUCCAAAUAAUAGUUGAUUUUGUCAUCACAAAUGUUUUGUUGUUGUUGUGCUAAAUCAUGGUUGAAUUUCGUAUUUUAUUUUAUUAGAUUAGUUUAGAAAACAUUUACAAUAUAUUUAUAGCAUUAGUUGACAAAUUAUUUAUACAUCUGGAUUUAUUUAUGUGCCUUUGUCAAUAGUAUUUGGUAGAGCAUACUAGAUUGCACAAAUCAAAUACAUUGUUUGAUACAAGUUUCUAGUGCAAGAGUAUCAAAUUUAGGAGUAACUAAAUAAUGAAUUCUAGUUCACUGCCAACAAAAAUUAAUGAACUCUAGAGUGUGUAUGAGUUGCCAACAUUAGGUUUCCCCUCAAGCCCCUUCUACGGUCUCGCUCAUUGGCGGUACUCCUUUGUACAUCCAAUUUCUUAACUAGGGGUCAAUAGUUAGUCAUGGUUACAUGCCUGUUGUCCAUUGUGUUUGUAUGAAAAUCAUAAUUUUUUGUAAUAGGCCUAAAUAUUUAGAAUUGAAACAAUAAAUUAUUGUAAGCUACCCACAAUGUGUACUCAGCCUAGAGAUACCAGCAAUUUGGCAAUACCCACUUGAACCAACCCAUAUGCUCCCAUUAUAUGAGUGGCUGACAUGUCUCAGGCACUUAAUAUCUUUAGAUUUAUUCUUUUUUGUGGGGAGAUUUGUAGAAGUAGUUUUCUCAACCAAAAUUAUGGGUCCAUGUCAUUUUCACUUUCAAUUUCAGAAAUAUUUCAGCAACAACCGGAUUAUCACAGUGACUAGUGAUUUCGGUUUGCAUUCCGGCCAAAGGGCCAAAACAUUCACUUGAAUUCAACCAAGUAUUUGGAAAUUCUGAAAAAUACUUAAAUUCAUAUGUACUGCUAAAAUUAUUGAAAUAUUUUAACUGAAAGGUAUAUAUUUUGGUGUCUACAGAAAUUCGGUGAACUUCAUCAACAUCUCACAGGAAGAGAAAACCAUCUGUUGAAACCAACACACUCAACAAGAUUUGCGUAUUCACAGGCUACCUAAAAUCAAACAUCGACCCUUAAAUUAUACCUGUCCUGCUAUAUUGCUUGAACUUAAUAUUACUGUACUAGUAGUCAUGACCCUCUAAUACGAACUAGCAUGGUGCCCACACGAUUAUGAGGGAAAUGUGGUUCUAGUUACCUUUGAAAAAGGCCUGGCGUAUUUAUUUACGGGGGACUGCACAUCAUUGGAUUUAGCCGACGGAAUUUACAGGAGACUACACAUCAUUAGAUCGAUUCACAGAAUUAAAGCUCGCAUAUCCUGCAAAAAGAAAUAGAGCAUGGGUCGCACAGCUCUGGAUGAUUGUGUUUUUGUACAUUAUUAGGUAGUCAGGCUUUUUGUACAUGAUGUUAGAUUAGGACGCUGAAUUAGAGGCUAGCUAAUACAGUUGUACAAGGCAGUCAGAAUCAUGAUACUGAAUCGGAUCGGAGCACCCCUGCCAGGAUCUUAAAUCGUAGAAUCUUCACUGUUAGAAUUUUGGAAGCGUAGAUUCUACUGGCCAAAAUCCUAUAAUCAUAGGAGUUGAUUUGGUUCUUGAAGUAGUUGUAGAAUCGUACAGUGAAAUCGCAAUUCUGUCUACCUUGAGUUGUACUGUCCCAUCGUUUCCUCUCUGUGUCAGUAUUAGAUUAGGACACUGAAUUAGUGGCUAGUAUGGUUGGACUGAGCGAAGAAGACUGAUUAGAUGUUGUAGCAUGAUUUCUUAGCACGUGGCCUCUCCUAUUCAGCCUUGUAUGAAGCAUCAUUCAGUCUAGGCCUGGCAUUGUCCUAGAGUAUAUCCUCAGUUUGAUCCUCAUUGUGCCUUUGCAGCCAGAGCUCGGCUGCUGCAAAGGACGUUUCUGCCUUGCACCAUGCAAGACGAGAACGGGUAUAAAUGACAAUGUGUGCUCCCCGGAUGAAACAGAGUGCCACACCAGGGGGGAGAAGGGAGAAGAUGUGCAGCUGAAUUGCUGGGCAGGGUCUCCUUUGGCAGAUGUUGCCGCAGUCCGACACCGGUGUGUGUCGGGUGUUGCCAUUCGGGGGUCUGCCAAAGGAAAUUUGCCCCGGAAUUCAUCUGCACAAGCACAGAUGGGAGAAGAGAAGAUGGGUCUCAAGUUGCCUAGGUGCGAAUGUACAUUAUAUAUUUGGUGUUACAUUCUGACUGUGUUACAGUUGGGUCUGUGUACUCUGCAGUUCGUCAACAUCAGCUGCAUCACCAUUUACUGAUGAAAAAUGGGAAUCUUGGCAGAAGAAAGAGGAUGCUACAUCUUCUUGGUUAUCUAUCUCUACACACCAUUAGACUAUAUACAGGUAGCUAAAUGUGAUCAAAUGGUAUCAACAGGAAUCAACAUGUAAAUUCCUCUGUUCUGUUGCUA
Molecule: long non-coding RNA, 4600 nt
Filed under: Triticum aestivum (bread wheat)
Lineage: Eukaryota; Viridiplantae; Streptophyta; Magnoliopsida; Poales; Poaceae
Description: long non-coding RNA (TAES_LNC009139)
Rfam family: mir-399 microRNA precursor family (bases 4186-4301)
Source: RNAcentral